CCUACGGGUGGCAGCAGUGAGGAAUAUUGGUCAAUGGGCGCUAGCCUGAACCAGCCAAGUAGCGUGAAGGAUGACUGCCCUAUGGGUUGUAAACUUCUUUUAUAUGGGAAUAAAGUGCAGUACGUAUACUGCUUUGCAUGUACAUUAUGAAUAAGGAUCGGCUAACUCCGUGCCAGCAGCCGCGGUAAUACGGAGGAUCCGAGCGUUAUCCGGAUUUAUGGGGUUUAAAGGGAGCGUAGGCGGGUUGUUAAGUCAGUUGUGACAGUUUGCGGCUCAACCCGGGCCUUGCAGCGCGAACUGGCGUGCUUGAGUCCGCGGAAAGCAGGCGGAAUUCGUCGUGUAGCGGUGAAAUGCUUAGAUAUGACGAAGAACCCCGAUUGCGAAGGCAGCUUGCUGCAGCGGAACUGACGCUGAUGCUCGAAAGCGCGGGUAUCGAACAGGAUUAGAUACCCCUGUAGUC
RNAcentral lists this ribosomal RNA (460 nucleotides) under uncultured bacterium. RNAcentral describes it as "partial 16S ribosomal RNA". It matches the Rfam family "Bacterial small subunit ribosomal RNA", at positions 338 to 795 of the family's 1533-position model. The record is from RNAcentral.